UGUGCUAUGGGGCACAGAGCUAUGGGGCACCUAUGGGGCUCUGUGCUAUGGGCAGGGGGUUAUGAGGUAGUGCUUUGGGGCUCAGGCUUAUGGGGCACGCUAUGGGGCCAUCUGUUGCUAUGGGCCACUAUGGGGUCGAGCUAUGGGCUCGUGCUAUGGGGCACGCCUAUAGGGGCUCUGUUCCUUUGUCUGCUAUUGGGGCCGUAUGGGGCUCUGUGUUAUGGGAGACACUAUGGGGCUCAGAGCUAUGGGGCAGGGGGUUAUGGGGCUCUGUGCUAUGGGGCAGGGGGUUAUGGGGCACAGGGCUAUAGGGUGAUGUGCUAUGGGGCUCUAUGCUAUGGGGUGUGCUAUGGGGCACAGAGCUAUGGGGUGUGCUAUGGGGCACAGAGCUAUGGGGCACAGAGCUAUGGGGUGUGCUAUGGGGCGCUGUGCUAUGGGGCACAGAGCUAUGGGGUGUGCUAUGGGGCUCUAUGCUAUGGGGUGUGCUAUGGGGCACAGAGCUAUGGGGCUCUAUGCUAUGGGGUGCGCUAUGGGGCGCUAUGUUAUGGGGUGCUAUGCUAUGGGGCACACUAUGGGGUGCUACGCUAUGGGGCGCUGCUGUGGGGCUGGCCCCAUCCCCGCCGCCGUCAUCAAUGGGGCUGAGCAGCUCCGGCCCCACAAGUGGCGCCAUGUGGGGCUGACGGGACCUGUGGGGCACAGAGAGAGAUUGACCCCAUAGAGCCUGACCCAUAGAGACACAUAGGGACCUAUAGGGACCCAUAGAGACCCCAUAGAGCCCUGACCCACAGAUCCCACCCCAUAGAGACCCCAUAGUAACCCACAGAGACCCAUAGAGACCCCAUAGACCCCAUAGAGACCAAUAGAACCCCAUAGACCCCAUAGAGACCCAUAGAGACCCCAUAGAGACCCAUAGAGACCCAUAGAGACCCAUAGAGACCCCAUAGAGACCCCAUAUCAUCCUAUAUAACCCAAUAUCCCCCCAUAUCCCCCCAUAGAACCCCAUAGAGGCCCCAUAGAGACCCCAUAGACCCCAUAUAACCCCCAUAAACCCCAUAGACCCCAUAUAAACCCCAUAGAGCCCCAUAGAACCCCAUAUAAACCCCAUAGACACCAUAGAACCCCAUAUCACCCCAUAUCACCCAUAGACACCCCAUAGAGACCCCAUAUACCCCAUAUAACCACAUAGAGACCCAUAGGGACCCCAUAGAGACCCAUAGAGACCCCAUAGAGACCAAUAGAACCCCAUAGACCCCAUAGAGACCCAUAGAGACCCCAUAGAGACCCCAUAGAGACCCCAUAGAGCGCUGACCCACAGAUCCCACCCCAUAGAGACC
Coturnix japonica (Japanese quail) is the source of this 1334-nucleotide long non-coding RNA. The record is from Ensembl. NCBI's taxonomy places the organism in Eukaryota, Metazoa, Chordata, Aves, Galliformes, Phasianidae.